CAACAGAGUAUUUACAUACACCAGUGUUUCAUAAAGAGAAGAGGAUUAUUUAUGCCUACAUAAUGAGCGGUUUUACCACUUUAAGAAGGAAGUUGGUAGAUUAACUGUUGAUCAGCUGUGAUUGUUCCACUUAACUUACAUUAUAUCACCACAAAGAGUUGAUUCUGCUUCACUUCUCCUAAAUGCUUUAGAUCAGCGAUUCCAACACUGUAUUUGGUGACAAAGCUGCUUGUUUUUAACAGAAACUGAGUAAACUGCGGCUCAGGACGCUCUGAAUGGAGUCCAGGAAGCCCGUAAUUUUACAUGUGUCCUUUGCACCACGCUUGUGACUCGGGUGGAAAUGGGUGUCAAAGGUGAGCGCAAAUCUGACAAAUACAGAAAUACAGACAGCAGGUCAAGGACGGCAGGUAGUUCAAGGUGAGAGCUGAUUUAUGGGUGCAUACACUGUGAUAAUUCCAUGGUAUUCUUUUAUAUGUUGAAGUGCACAAACUGCACACAUCAAAAGACACUGCUUCUGGUUUAUUAUCACAGCUGCAAAUGGCAGAAAACAUUAGUUGAAUGGCUUUAUUCAGUUAGAGCCCAACAAAGAUUAAACAAACUCAAAAAACACAUUGAAUUAAAUGUGAAACGCUGAAGUAGAAAAACUUACAUUUUCUUGUAAAACAUAUUCCAAUAAUGUGUUUUAUUUAUAACUUUAAAAAAUAGUUUUUACAGUGUGGAAGCACUGUAUUGCAUCUGUUUUAAAAAAGAUUGGUUUAAUAAAUAAACAAACACAUAAAUGCAAUUAUAUUUCAGUUUUGGUCACAUAAUUCGUCUGUCAAACAAAAAUGCUUUUUGGAAACUCAAUAAAAAUUAAAUAAAAGAAAUUAUCUUCUUAAACAACACACAAAUAUAUGUACGAAUAUAUAUAUAUAUAUAUAUAUAUAUAUAUAUAUAUAUAUAUAUAUAUAUAUAUAUAUAUAUAUAUAUAUAUAUAUAAUUCAGUGUCCAAGUGCUGCUGUUCUGUCUGUAUCUGUUUUUUUUUUGUUUGUUUAAUAAAUAAGCGUAUAAAUGCAAAUAAACAUUCUAUAUCGGUCACAUAAACACUGUUAAUUCUGUAAUAUUUGUAUAAGGAAACUAAUGUGCACAUUUUUGUGUGAGGCGCCAUUAAAAUGUGGAAAGAUUUUUGUGGAAAGGCCACAUACUUUAGGCUUUCAGACUGAAUGAAGUCAGGAAAACAAUCUGUGAGACUGGAUUCUCUCUCUCUCUCUUGCUCUCACUUUGUUUCUUUACAAACAGGGAGGGGCGGAGCCAGCUAAUGGUUACACUGAGUUAAACAAAUGAGCAGAGGGGGCGAGUCACAGAGGGGGUGGAGCCAGAGCCACAAACAGACACACCCACACAAGCAGUGAGUGUUCAGACUGACUCAGCGUUUAUGACUGGCUUAGUUCAGCACACACACACACACACACACACACACACACACGCAGAGAGAGUAAAUAGCCCAAAGGUGCAUCACAGCCUUCAUAGGUUACUGACCUGAAAUAUGCCUGACGGGAGACAAGGAAGUUUAGCGUGAUAGAAAUAGGGAAUUAAGUGCUGAGAACAGGAGGACGAGCGUUUGAAGAGGAUUAGAAGGCUUUGAGAAAACCUUCAGAACAAGAACAAAUAAACACUGAAUUCCCCGUCCACCACACUAAACCGAUGAACCACAACAUUACCAUUAAAAAAAUCAUACAUUUAAAUCUCAGUUGACUGAAUAUCUUUCAUAACACUGAAAUCAAAAAUCACAUUAUUUGACAUCAAAUGUGAGGCCAUAUUUUGUUCAAUUUAAGCAAUCAUAUGAAAACUUGGAAUAUAGAUGCACAAAAUACUAAUGUAAAUAUGUAAUUCCAAACUUUUGUAUGGAAGCUAUUAAAGCUAAAUUUUAUAUAUAGAUUUAUAAUUUAUCAAAUUUAUUUAAAAUAGAUUUUUAUUAGGGGUCGACAGAUGUGUGUUUUUCAGGGCCGAUGCCGAUACAGAUUAUUAGAGAUCAAGUAGACUGAUAACCGAUAUUUUAAACCAAUAUACUGUAUAUGUCUGGUGUAAAAAUGAAAAUUUAUGUCAAAAUUAAGAAUAACUAGGGCUCAGACAAAAAAAAAA
This is a long non-coding RNA of Cyprinus carpio carpio, 2121 nucleotides long. NCBI's taxonomy places the organism in Eukaryota, Metazoa, Chordata, Actinopteri, Cypriniformes, Cyprinidae. The record is from Ensembl.